This is a long non-coding RNA of Neoarius graeffei (lesser salmon catfish), 646 nucleotides long. RefSeq lists it as uncharacterized. The transcript has 3 exons. NCBI's taxonomy places the organism in Eukaryota, Metazoa, Chordata, Actinopteri, Siluriformes, Ariidae. The record is from RefSeq and is a predicted model, not a curated record.
UUCACUGAGGAAGGAACGUUGCGAAACUUUCUCUCUCUGGUGUUUUUUCCACAUUUCGUGUCAUGACUCGUGUGAUUUUUUUAUUUUUUUGCAUGUGGAGGCUGGACUGCUGAUGACUCAAUGUGCUGUUGAAUAAAAUGACCAUGAUGAAAUAAAACACACCGUAAAGACCCGGUGCAUGGCCUCGGGCUGCGUGCGCGAGUGUGGAAACAUGUCCUACAACUUCCUACUUCUCUCCACCUGACUUCCCUCACCUUGCCGUGUAGCGCCUGACCCUGACGAGACGGCGUGUCUGUGACGCAAAUGCCUGUGAACUUUUGCACAAAAGCCAGUGCUGAUGACAAGCAGAUAUACUGCAAGAAAAAAGAUGAAUUGGUAACUUAUCUACCCGCAGCUCUCAUUUUUUCUGUUCCUUUCUUCUACAUUCCAUCUCCAAAUCUGCCUACAUUGCUGCAGGCUUUUGUUCCACUUUUGCUCCAAUUUAAAAUGUUCGCGAACUAGAUGGGAGGGAGCUGAAGAAGAAGAAAGAAAAAAGUUCGCUGGAAGGAAAAUCAGUUAAGCCAUGAUAGUAAAUGAUCUUUGUGAAAUAUCUAAUGAUUUAGUUGUAAUGCAUUUUUACUUUGUUCUGUUUACAUACGCGACUGUU